CGAACGGGUGAGUAAUGCAUCGGAACGUGUCCCGUAAUGGGGGAUAACGCCGCGAAAGCGGCGCUAAUACCGCAUACGCUCUACGGAGGAAAGUGGGGGAACCGCAAGGGCCUCACGUUAGGGGAGCGGCCGAUGUCCGAUUAGCUGGUUGGUGGGGUAACGGCCCACCAAGGCGACGAUCGGUAGCUGGUCUGAGAGGAUGAUCAGCCACACUGGGACUGAGACACGGCCCAG
This 234-nucleotide ribosomal RNA is filed under the name uncultured bacterium. Its description in RNAcentral is "partial 16S ribosomal RNA". It matches the Rfam family "Bacterial small subunit ribosomal RNA", at positions 99 to 334 of the family's 1533-position model. The record is from RNAcentral.